GCCGAAGUGGCGAAAUAGGUAGACGCAGUUGAUUCAAAAUUAACCACCCCAUGGGUAUACCGGUUCGAUUCCGGUCUUCGGCA
This 83-nucleotide transfer RNA is filed under the name Candidatus Palibaumannia cicadellinicola. RNAcentral's name for it is "tRNA-Leu". It matches the Rfam family "tRNA". Rfam says of the family: Transfer RNA (tRNA) molecules are approximately 80 nucleotides in length. Lineage: Bacteria; Pseudomonadati; Pseudomonadota; Gammaproteobacteria. The record is from RNAcentral. RNAcentral also lists the same sequence under 1 other name.